RNAcentral lists this ribosomal RNA (260 nucleotides) under uncultured bacterium. RNAcentral's name for it is "partial 16S ribosomal RNA". It matches the Rfam family "Bacterial small subunit ribosomal RNA", at positions 94 to 354 of the family's 1533-position model. The record is from RNAcentral.
AGUGGCGGACGGGUGAGUAACGCGUGGGUAACCUGCCCUAUACAGGGGGAUAACAGUUAGAAAUGACUGCUAAUACCGCAUAAGCGCACAGGACCGCAUGGUUCGGUGUGAAAAACUGAGGUGGUAUAGGAUGGACCCGCGUCUGAUUAGCUUGUUGGUGGGGUAACGGCCCACCAAGGCGACGAUCAGUAGCCGGCCUGAGAGGGCGACCGGCCACAUUGGGACUGAGACACGGCCCAAACUCCUACGGAAGGCAGCAG